This 429-nucleotide ribosomal RNA is filed under the name Chloroflexota bacterium. Its description in RNAcentral is "Chloroflexi bacterium partial 16S ribosomal RNA". It matches the Rfam family "Bacterial small subunit ribosomal RNA", at positions 355 to 776 of the family's 1533-position model. Lineage: Bacteria; Bacillati; Chloroflexota. The record is from RNAcentral.
UGGGGAAUAUUGCACAAUGGGCGCAAGCCUGAUGCAGCCAUGCCGCGUGUGAGAAGAAGGCCUUCGGGUUGUAAAGCACUUUCAGCGGGGAGGAAGGCGAUAAGGUUAAUAACCUUGUCGAUUGACGUUACCCGCAGAAUAAGCACCGGCUAACUCCGUGCCAGCAGCCGCGGUAAUACGGAGGGUGCAAGCGUUAAUCGGCAUUACUGGGCGUAAGGUGCACGCAGGCGGUCUGUCAAGUCGGAUGUGAAAUCCCCGGGCUUAAACUGGGAACUGCAAUCGAAACUGGCAGGCUAGAGUCUUGUAGAGGGGGGUAGAAUUACAGGUGUAGCGGUUAAAUGCGUAGAGAUCUGGAGGAAUACCGGUAGCGAAGGCGGCCCCCUGGACAAAGACUGACGCUCAGGUGCGAAAGCGUGGGGAGCAAACAGG